Molecule: ribosomal RNA, 615 nt
Filed under: uncultured bacterium
Lineage: Bacteria
Description: bacterial SSU rRNA
Rfam family: Bacterial small subunit ribosomal RNA
Source: RNAcentral
CCUACGGGAGGCAGCAGUAGGGAAUCUUCCGCAAUGGACGAAAGUCUGACGGAGCAACGCCGCGUGAACGAUGAAGGCCUUCGGGUCGUAAAGUUCUGUUGUUAGGGAAGAACAAGUGCUAGUUGAAUAAGCUGGCACCUUGACGGUACCUAACCAGAAAGCCACGGCUAACUACGUGCCAGCAGCCGCGGUAAUACGUAGGUGGCAAGCGUUGUCCGGAAUUAUUGGGCGUAAAGCGCGCGCAGGCGGUUUCUUAAGUCUGAUGUGAAAGCCCCCGGCUCAACCGGGGAGGGUCAUUGGAAACUGGGAAACUUGAGUGCAGAAGAGGAAAGUGGAAUUCCAAGUGUAGCGGUGAAAUGCGUAGAGAUUUGGAGGAACACCAGUGGCGAAGGCGACUUUCUGGUCUGUAACUGACGCUGAGGCGCGAAAGCGUGGGGAGCAAACAGGAUUAGAUACCCUGGUAGUCCACGCUGUAAACGAUGAGUGCUAAGUGUUAGAGGGUUUCCGCCUUUAGUGCUGAAGUUAACGCAUUAAGCACUCCGCCUGGGGAGUCGGUCGCAAGCUGAAACUCAAAGGAUUGACGGNUUGAGAGNGCGAGCGACGACGAGGGAGAGG